This 706-nucleotide long non-coding RNA is filed under the name Marmota monax (woodchuck). Lineage: Eukaryota; Metazoa; Chordata; Mammalia; Rodentia; Sciuridae. The record is from RNAcentral.
GAGACAGUAAGAGGUGGCUCGUGUUAUCAUGAGACUGUCGUGGUGAUAAAAGAUUGCAGAGAGCAUACUGACUGGACAGCCAGCCUCUGAUGUCCCAGGGUGAGCUGCCCAGCUCAGACACAAAGCAACAGGACAAUUUUGCAAGAGCCGCCAGUUGCUCCUUCUAAGUCAGGAGCAUGGGGCCACAUCCAAAGCCACGCACCUUGAGCCCGCUGUCCUAACCCACCAGUUGCUAAGGAUGAGGUGCUAGAACAUCUCCUCGUGUGCGGGUUUUUUUUUUUUUUCCCCUUCCUUUUAAUGGCAUCUUUUUUCUUCUGUGUUCACUGUGUUUAGCAUCCUGCAAAGAAAGCAAAUGUCUCCAGACUGGGAGCAGGGUGUGGUAGCCUAGGCGAUGCAGGAAGACAGGUGGGGUAGCAGAGGAAAGCUGAGGGCGGGAAGGGGCAGGUGGCUUGGGACUGCACACCUGGCUCACAGCUGCAGUGGCCAGCUGCCCUGGCUGCCCCUGAGCAGAUGGGCUGGCUCACAUGGCUUUUCUCCACCUGUGGAACACCUGGUGUGCAGGACGAGGUGUUCAGGGAUCCAGAAAGGCAGCACUUCCUAAGAGCAUUCGAGGAUAUCUUGACAGGUGGGGCCACAUUCUGUGCAUUCAGUAGAGUCUCUGUGAGGUGGAUCUGCAGGAUCUAAAGAGCCUCUGCUGUGGAAAUGA